UGCUGAGCUACCAUGAAGAAUGACAGCCGUCGAGACUUCCGGUACUAGUCAUAGGGCGAUAACGAUAAGAGCGCAGUUGCAGAAUUUAUAACAGGAGCCACAAUGGCGGUUGUCGUCUCUUGACAGGGCUGUGGAUGUUAUUAAAUCCACUAUCAUCGCCCUAAAGAUAGGCCUGGUUGAUUCCCAGAGCCAUUAAAAAUAAACUGGAACAAUUACUGCACAUGAAAAUACUAUAAUUUCUGAUCAAUAUCAAAUUAACAAGAGAUAACAAUUAUAUUAAAAGGGACCAUGUAAACAGUACCAACCGGGUCAAGUUUUCAUUUUGUUCGAGAAACAACAUCGGCUGUUAAUGACGGCUAACUGUUUGUUUAUUGAACUCCAAAACCGUAAAUCUAAGGAACAAUAACACCUAAACUAAGCUUGGCACCGGACAAGGGAAUCUAAAAGAAAAGGGACUUAUUUUUUUCUUUCGUUUUUUACCAAACAGCAUGCUAGCUACACAGAGCUAGCUAGCCAAAUAGAAACGGAGAAGAGCGCACAAUGCUCCGAUUUAUUGUUUGGGCCUUUCAGCCAGUUUCUCUAACUAGCUAAAUGCACAGGCCUUCAUUUUAGUGGCGGUUUUUGGCACUAGCAACCUUUAUUUUUCUGAUUUGACAAACCAUGCUGCCGAACGACUUGGAUAAUUCGUGAGGACUAAACCUGGGCAGACUCAUUUAUAUUUGUCGGCUUGCUUUAGAACACUGGAUCUAAUUUUACCGGAUUUCGGAGUACUACUCUCCCGUUAAUGUAUUCUCUCGGCUACAGAGGCCCACGCUCGGGAGAGGUUCCGCCGCUGACGUGAGGGAUGCCUGGGUCGGAUAGACACCAUGGGACCAAGAGGAAGCCGGAAUCCAACAGUAGCGUUGCCCUGCCACCCCAAACAACGAGCGGCAACAGUGGGCUACACCAGCCCCUGGUCCUGCCUCAUACCUCUGCGGGCAACAUGACGAGCAAGGACGGUAACCUCCAGUCAAAGUCGUCAGUGCCAUCUUCUUCCAAGCGCAAACGGCAUAAAUCAGCGAAACAUGGACGUGAGUCCGAGGUGGCUCAGGGCCCUGGUUUUUCUGCGCUCGCCUCCACAGCGCCUCCUUCCGUUAGCGCCGUGAAGCCGCUGGUAGAAUAUGACGACAUAAGUUCCGAUUCGGAUACUUUUUCGGACCCGCCUGCUGAGAGAGGGUCUGGGGAUCGGUUAGAACCUGUCCCAGAUUAUAGUAAAGGGGAUGGGGGCGGGGCUGUUGGUAGAGAUGGUCGGGAACACAAGCACCGUCACUCGCGGAAAAAGUCGAAGGAUCCCAACAAAGUUAGAGACUCUGGGGAAGGGGGUCAGAGUACCAAGAAAAAAAGCAGCAAAGACCGUGAGAGAGGGAGCUCUGGGAAAGUCAAGGAGAAGGUGGCCUCCCUGUCCUCUGUAGCAUCCCUGUCCUCCGGGUCACGCCGUCAGGGUCAGCUGGAGGCUGACUUGGGGCCAAAGCGUGGAGAGUUGCCCCCUUCCUCCCAGGCCCAAACUGCAGCCAGUGUGGGAAGCACCACAUCCUCCUCCUCGUCAUCUCGCAGCAAGGAGGGUGGCCGCUCCGGGAAGUCUCGUAAGGAUAAGCCACAGAAGAGAGAAGGGCUUGAGGGUCGGGGGGAUGCAACCGCCAGCCAGAGCACCUCUGCCUCUCAGAAGGUCCGGACAGAGAGGAGCCAACGCAAGUCCUCAAAGAGCCACAAGUCCAGCCCUAAGGGCAAGGGGCAGCCUUCCUCGAGCAGGGGGAGCCCUCGCCGGAAGGUAACAGCCCCUACACAGUCCCCCAGCCCCCCAAGGAGAGGGGGUAAUGGAAGCCCCAUGGUCGGUAGUUACAGCCAGGAGGUGGACAGCUACCACCACCAGAGACGCAGGCCGGCCCCACAGAGCCCCAGCCCCUACAGGGAGAUGUCCAGGCGGAGCAGGCAGAGGUCGGACAGCCCCUACGCCAGCAGGCAGAGGUCUUCCAGCUAUGAGCGAGACGACAGCCCCUACUCAAGGAGACGCUCCAUCAGUCCCUAUGGUAACCGCAGGUCCUCCAGCGCUAGCCCUGUGUCCCGGCGCUCAGUUCGCUCUCGGAGUCGCUCGCCUCCUUUCUCCUCUUCCCGUCGCUCCUCCUCUCGCUCUCGCAACAAGAAGCAUUCGUCCUCUGCCGGGGGAGGUGGGUCUCACAGCAGCCGGCCCACCAGCCGCUCCCCACCCUCCUCCCGCCUGCCACUCAACUCCAGCCUGGGGGCAGAGCUUAGCCGGAGAAAGAAGGAGCGCCAGGCUGCGGUGGCUGCAGCUCGUCCCCCCUCCCCUCCACCUUCCUCACGCAAGACCAAGGGGUCCACCUCACGCCCCCCUAAAGCUGAGCCUGAGAGAGUACCUGAGAGAGAGACUGUCCAAGCCGCGGACCUCCAGCCUCCACCCAGUGCACCCCAGCCCCGGGACACUCUUGUUGGGGAACAACACGGCUCUGCAUCUUCACCCUUCUCAUCUCCUGCUCCCCCUCUGCCCCCCGGUCAGACGACCCCACUACCUCCACCUCCUCUGCCCUCCACCCCUGUCACCCAACUUCAGCCACCUACACCCCAGGGCCAGACUGAGACCAGCCUCGCACCCUCCACAGCCCUCUCCUCCUCCUCCUCCUCCUCAUUGUCGUCCCCCCAGUCCAAAUCUCCUGCCCCCAUGCCCACUCGCAGCCCUGCCCGCCUGACACCCAUCCACAAGACCUCCACUCUGCCCCCCCUGCCUUUACCACCCAUGCUAGUGGGAGACUGCCAGGACAGUCCGAAGAAGUCCACUCCUCCUCAGAGGUCUUCCAGGAAGGAGAAAGAGGUGCGGAAUCGGCCGUCUCUGAUCGACCUCCCUCUGCCCCCCACGCUGGCCGGAGGAGACCCCUCUCCCCCUCAGUCCCCCGUCUACAGAGCUCCACCUCCGCCCCAGUCCGCUCUCAAGAAGAGACCAAAGUUUUGCUGUCCACGCUAUGGCGAACGCAAACAGACACAGAGCGACUGGGGCAAACGCUGCGUGGACAAGUUUGACAUCAUCGGCAUUAUCGGGGAGGGCACCUACGGCCAGGUGUACAAGGCCAAGGACAAAGACACCGGUGAGCUGGUGGCUCUGAAGAAGGUGCGUCUGGACAAUGAGAAGGAGGGCUUCCCCAUCACGGCCAUCCGAGAGAUCAAGAUCCUCCGCCAGCUCAACCACCGCAGCGUGGUCAACAUGAAGGAGAUCGUCACAGACAAACAGGACGCACUGGACUUCAAGAAGGACAAAGGUGCCUUCUACCUGGUGUUUGAGUACAUGGAUCAUGACCUGAUGGGUCUGCUGGAGUCGGGGCUGUGUCAGUUCUCUCAGGAACAUGUGAGGAGCUUCAUGAGACAGCUGAUGGAGGGGCUGGACUACUGCCACAAGAAGAACUUCCUGCACAGAGACAUCAAGUGCUCCAACAUACUGCUCAACAACAGUGGUCAGAUCAAACUGGCUGACUUUGGUUUGGCCCGCCUCUACAACUCGGAGGAAAGUCGACCCUACACUAAUAAAGUAAUCACGCUAUGGUACCGUCCCCCUGAGCUCCUCCUGGGAGAGGAGAGGUACUCUCCGGCCAUCGACGUCUGGAGCUGCGGGUGUAUUCUGGGAGAACUGUUCACCAAGAAGCCCAUCUUCCAAGCCAAUCAGGAGCUGCUGCAGUUAGAGUUGAUCAGUCGUCUGUGUGGGAGCCCGUGUCCCGCUGCCUGGCCUGACGUCAUCAAGCUGCCCUACUUCAACACCAUGAAGCCCAAGAAACAGUACCGCCGACGGCUGCGCGAGGAGUUUGCCUUUCUGCCUGCUCAGGCCCUGGACCUGCUGGACCGCAUGCUGACCCUUGACCCUGCGCGGCGCUGCACGGCCGAACAGGCCCUCAAUAGUGACUUCCUGUGUAACGUGGAGCCCAGCAAGAUGUCCCCGCCCAAUCUCCCUCACUGGCAGGACUGCCACGAGCUGUGGAGUAAGAAACGGAGGCGCCAGCGUCAGAGCGGGCUGCCCGAGGAUGUGCCUGUGCCCAAAGUGCCCCGUAAGGACCCCUCGGGGGCUUCCAGUGGAGAGAACAGCCGGCCCCAAGCCAGCCCAGCUGGAGCCCCGCCCCCUCCGCCGGGAAGACCACCACCCUCAGCCAUCUCUGCCAAUGAGCUAGCAGGCCUGGGUGCUGCGGCGGAGCAGCUGAACCAGACAGAGCUGGCUGUGCUGUUGAACCUGCUGCAGAGACAGACAGACCUCAGUCUGCCUCAGAUGGCCCAGCUCCUCAACGUCUCCUCCAACCCAGAGAGCCAGCAGCAGCUAGAGACCCUUAGCCAGUCCCUGUCAGCCCUGACCGAGGCCUCCCACCACCGGGGGGCCUCAGAGGACCAGGGUCCGGCUAGGCCCCAGCCCCCUGAACCUCCCCCAGAGCCUCAGGAGCCCUCCCCGCACCACAGCGAGCCACCCCUCAGCCAGGAUGACCAGACCAACCUCCUGGCCCUCCUAUUGGGCCAGCUCAUCAAGCCGCAGGCCGAGGGGGCGGAGCAAGGCGACGAGAGCAAUGGCGUCCAAUCAGAGGAGGCAGUGACUCGCGGUUCGUCAGCCUCCACUGCUGACCGCAAGGGCAAGUCUGGGUUCAGUCUCUAGGGGGAGGGGCAGAGAGCACUGGGUCAGGGGAUCUCACAGGAGACUGGUGGACGAUCUUGUCAAGGUGCGGAUCUUGUCAUCCAAUUAUUUUCCCGCUUACCAUAAAGCCGUUGUAAAUUACUUUAUAAACGAGCUGAUGAGAUGAAAGAUCUUAACUAAAUGGCAAAUCGAAAGAAAGAUUCCACGGUUACUUUAAAUAUUUUUUGAGGAAGUUUUAUGUUGUCUAGACCCACCACCUCUCCCCCCUCCUCUCACCAACAGUUUCACCCCCACCCACCUUUUGUCUGUCUCACCCGUCUCCUACUUCCAAAGGCUACUUUCACCCACUCAGUCACACAUAGGUGGAAACAUACCAUACAUGAAGUUGGCAAGUCCUCAAGAUGUCUGACCAGAGUGGCUUCGGACGGCCCAGGUCACAUGGACUGGGCUUUGGGCACAAGGACUUUUCUCAUUGGUGUGAAUGUAAACUAAGAGAAGACUGUGCAGUCACCAAGCGGAAGCAGCAGAUUGGAACAAAUCAGGUCCCUCCAUCCUCCGAGCGACGUCCCCCCUCUCCGCCUGGCCCUCCACCCUCAGCCCUCCUCUCUCCUGGCCAGCAGCAGCCCAGUUCUGAACCCCAGCCCGGGCCCGGCCAGGACAUCAGCCCGGCGGUGGCAGCCGCCCUGCUGCAGCUCAUCUCCCAACAGGACCCAGAGGCUGGGGCCCCCCAGCGCAGCAGGGACCACUCCCCCUCUGUGGGCACCCCUGUCCGGGGACAGCCACCCCCUGCCUGGAUGACUGACUCCCCUAAACCAUCCCCUGCUAGAGAGCCUCCUACUGGCAUGGAACCCACUGCCUCUGCUAUCCCAGCACAGUUCCCCAAGGACCAGGACCUCCGCUUUGCCCACAGGACCGCUCGCUGAUCCUGGGUGGGCCUGUUUAGAGACCUGGGGUAGAGUGGGCCGACCUACAGGGACAGGAGCCAGGGACUCCUACAGUACUGAUAAUGAUGAUACUAUACACCAAUCUCUCUAGGUGGGAACAGAAGAGCAGCUCACCUGAGCAGGUUGUGUAUAUUGGAAGAUGUGAGGUAGAUUGGCUGUGAGAUUGUUAGUCUGGAGAAAAGAGCAGGUCUUUGGGUCUGGAUAUUUGGAGGAUGUUAUUGUGAAGAUGGCCAGUGUUGGUUUGGCUAAAGGACAAACUAAGCCCCACUCUAGACAGACAGACAGACUGGGGUUGGGCCUUGGUGAGGUUUCUAGACCUGGGGGUGGGACAAAGUUCCACACCCUUAAAUCACUAACACUGCCCCUCCUGGACCUCCUGACUUGCUGAAGAAGUUGGUUCCACACAUGGAAUGUGAUCAGCUGUGAUUUUUCUUUUGUUUAAUUUGCAACUCAAAUGAUUGUUAUGUCUACUGCAGUGCCCUCUAACGACGAGGCUAUCAGUGGGUUUUGGAGUCUGGUGUCCUCACUCCUUUUCAUCUGCGGUUGAAUGGGUGGGGGUUGGUGUCUGCUACGUAUGACACCCUGGUGGAACAAAGAACAAGUCUGAAAUGUAGAGGUGGUUAACUGGGGGGUACAGAUGUGAAACACUGGGACUGCGAGCGAGUCUCAUCAUGCUAGCUGGCUCCUGACGUUCAACCUCGUGCCUCCUUUGUGUCCUUAGCAACCCCUGAAUGAUCUUUGCCCACACGGAAGAGUUGAGUUGUUUCUUCUGUUCUAGAAGGCACAUUAACAAGAGAAGGCAUGGCUCAAAAUAAAUUAGCAUACCUUGUGUGUCCUUGGUCAAAGGUACUGUAAAAUAAGGUAUUUGGGUCUCAGUCCUAUCUCCUCCUGUUGUUUCUAUGUAUGUCAGCCUCAGUUAGCAUUCCCAUGUAGAAAUGAACAUGUUCAUUCUCGAUCGCUCGCGCUCUCUAAUAACAGAUUCGUGUGCCUCUCUUAACCCUCAUACUUCCUCUGCUGCACACUGGCAGAAAACACCAACUCUGACACUGUCAUUAACUGCUCUACUAUACUCACUAGUCUUUCAUUGACCCUCUGUUCACAGCUAGCACGGUCACCCAACCCAUAGUGACUGGACACCUAUAGACUUACACACACACACACACCUCUCCAAAGCUUUCCCUGAUGAUCUCUGAUAGCCUUGUGUUAUCUCUUGCCUCCCUGCCUAACUGUGCAGCAAAUACGUUUUGUGUGAUUAUUUUCUACUUUAAAGACAAAGUUACAUGUUAAAACGAUGGUCCAUGGCUGUGUUUCCUUUGUUUUGUUUUGGGAAGGGAGAAAUUGGGAAGAGAUCUGGCUUUGGGUUUCAUGUGACCAUGUGACUGUAAAAGAUGAUAUUUUGUAAUAUGUGUUUUCUCGGUUCAAUUUAUUAAAGGAAAUCAUGCGACCAGAAAGUU
Molecule: RNA transcript, 7049 nt
Organism: Oncorhynchus kisutch (coho salmon)
Lineage: Eukaryota; Metazoa; Chordata; Actinopteri; Salmoniformes; Salmonidae
Gene name: cyclin-dependent kinase 12
Exons: 14
Source: RefSeq, a predicted model, not a curated record